RNAcentral lists this ribosomal RNA (407 nucleotides) under uncultured bacterium. RNAcentral's name for it is "partial 16S ribosomal RNA". It matches the Rfam family "Bacterial small subunit ribosomal RNA", at positions 30 to 526 of the family's 1533-position model. The record is from RNAcentral.
AUUGAACGCUGGCGGCAGGCCUAACACAUGCAAGUCGAGCGGAGCGGCGGACGGGUGAGUAAUACCUAGGAAUCUGCCUGGUAGUGGGGGAUAACGUUCGGAAACGGACGCUAAUACCGCAUACUAUCAGAUGAGCCUAGGUCGGAUUAGCUAGUGGGUGAGGUAAUGGCUAAACAAGGCUACGAUCCGUAACUGGGCUGAGAGGAGGAUCAGUAACACUGGAACUGAGAAACGGUCCAGACGCCGACGGGAGGCAGAAUGGGGGAAUAUUGGACAAUGGGCGAAAGCCGGAUCCAGCCAUGCCGCGUGGGUGAAGAAGGUCUUCGGAUUGUAAAGCACUUUAAGUGGGGAGGCGUUACCGACAGAAUAAGCACCGGCUAACUCUGUGCCAGCAGCCGCGGUAAUUC